AUGCAAGUCGAGCGAAUGGAUUGAGAGCUUGCUCUCAAGAAGUUAGCGGCGGACGGGUGAGUAACACGUGGGUAACCUGCCCAUAAGACUGGGAUAACUCCGGGAAACCGGGGCUAAUACCGGAUAACAUUUUGAACCGCAUGGUUCGAAAUUGAAAGGCGGCUUCGGCUGUCACUUAUGGAUGGACCCGCGUCGCAUUAGCUAGUUGGUGAGGUAACGGCUCACCAAGGCAACGAUGCGUAGCCGACCUGAGAGGGUGAUCGGCCACACUGGGACUGAGACACGGCCCAGACUCCUACGGGAGGCAGCAGUAGGGAAUCUUCCGCAAUGGACGAAAGUCUGACGGAGCAACGCCGCGUGAGUGAUGAAGGCUUUCGGGUCGUAAAACUCUGUUGUUAGGGAAGAACAAGUGCUAGUUGAAUAAGCUGGCACCUUGACGGUACCUAACCA
Molecule: ribosomal RNA, 450 nt
Filed under: Bacillus thuringiensis
Lineage: Bacteria; Bacillati; Bacillota; Bacilli; Caryophanales; Bacillaceae
Description: bacterial SSU rRNA
Rfam family: Bacterial small subunit ribosomal RNA
Source: RNAcentral